UGAUAAGGAGCCAAGCUGUGCUCAUGCAAGUUGCUCAUGCAAGCCAUGCAUGGCUUCAUGCAGACCGUGUUUCACGUGCAGGAUGAGUUUAUUGAGUGUCAAAACGAGAGCAGGAGAAUUACCACUUCAAAAUAUUCGUUUCCUGUUUGGAAGAGAAUCAAGGCGUGGUGGUCAUGUUUGAUUUGGAUUCGGUCUCUAAGUUAUCUUUAAAUAUUUCUUCUUGUUUUAUUUUACUAUAAUCUAGCUGAUAUUGUUGGCUAGGAAUCAAAGACUUGUAAGGUUAGCUAUUAUAAAUUAGUUCUCCGCUGCGAAUAAAAGAAGAAGAAUUAUCAAACUAAAUUAUCUCUGGCCGUUCUCACCAAAAGCAGAACAACAUUAUCAUCUUUUUUUAGUCAUUGUUAGCGUGCAUCUGACUGGGACCUAUCAAUUGGUAUCAGAGCUAGCUAUUAAUGGCAACCAACAAGGAACGCAUCGAACGAAUUGAAGCUGAUAUCGGGAACUUACAGAACAAGAUGGAACAAAUAGAAAUUGGGAUCAAUGACAAGCUGCAGCGUCUGGAGGACACUCUGAGCAAAUUGGCAGAAUCUUUUAGUGCAACCAGAGGCACUGCCAGUUGCGGCACUAACGAGCACAUUGGAUCUUCACGACCAUUCCGUGAGGAAAGUGAAGGACGUCGACCACCGUUGCCGACAAGAAUUGCUAAGUUGGAGUUUCCCCGCUAUGCCGGCGAUGACCCAAUGGAGUGGUUCAAUCGGGUGACGCAGUAUUUUGAGUACCAAGAAACCACAGAUGAGCAGAAAGUAGUCUUAGCGUCAUAUCACUUCGAGGGCGAAGCAAAUCAAUGGUGGCAGUGGAUGCGCAAGGCUUACCAAGAAGAAGGCCAACCGGUUACGUGGGAAACAUUUGUUGACGAGCUUUGGGCGCGCUUCGGACCAACGGAUUGUGAAGACUUUGAUGAAGCACUGUCUCGGGUCGAACAAACACGUUCUCUACGAGAAUACCAGAAGGAAUUCGAGAGGUUGGGAAACCGAGUUCAUGGGUGGUCACAGAAAGCGUUGGUGGGAACUUUCAUGGGAGGAUUGAAACCGGAGAUUGCAGAGGAUAUACGGAUGUUCAGGCCACGUACGUUAAAGGAAGCCAUCAGCCUUGCUCGUAUGAAAGACGACCAGAUAACACGCCAACGGAGAUUAUUCCAGCCACCCUCCAACCGCACACCGCCAACAUUGCCACCUACUCAAGCAUCACCAACCGUGCCUGUCAAAAGAUUACCGUGGGAUGAAAUGCAACGACGACGAGCUCAGGGACUGUGUUUCACUUGCAACGAACGGUUCACUGCGGGUCAUAAAUGUCAAGGGCCUCAACUUCUACUUCUCGAGAGCUACAACGACACCAACGAGAUCAGUUGUGAAGAAGUUGCAGAGGAACUACAUGGUGAAGAAAACAAAAGAGAACAACUUGGGAAGAUACGGCAUUGCUACAACAAUAAUUCCUUUGCUGACCCUUGAGGACAAGGGUCCUCUUCCACGAGGGGGUAUUGAUAAGGAGCCAAGCUGUGCUCAUGCAAGUUGCUCAUGCAAGCCAUGCAUGGCUUCAUGCAGACCGUGUUUCACGUGCAGGAUGAGUUUAUUGAGUGUCAAAACGAGAGCAGGAGAAUUACCACUUCAAAAUAUUCGUUUCCUGUUUGGAAGAGAAUCAAGGCGUGGUGGUCAUGUUUAAUUUGGAUUCGGUCUCUAAGUUAUCUUUAAAUAUUUCUUCUUGUUUUAUUUUACUAUAAUCUAGCUGAUAUUGUUGGCUAGGAAUCAAAGACUUGUAAGGUUAGCUAUUAUAAAUUAGUUCUCCGCUGCGAAUAAAAGAAGAAGAAUUAUCAAACUAAAUUAUCUCUGGCCGUUCUCACCAAAAGCAGAACAACAUUAUCAUCUUUUUU
RNAcentral lists this long non-coding RNA (1924 nucleotides) under Citrus maxima (pomelo). RNAcentral's name for it is "long non-coding RNA (CMAX_LNC004057)". The record is from RNAcentral. Lineage: Eukaryota; Viridiplantae; Streptophyta; Magnoliopsida; Sapindales; Rutaceae.